UACAGAGGUCUCAAGCGUUGUUCGGAUUUAUUGGGCGUAAAGGGUGCGUAGGCGGCGGGGCAAGUGAGGUGUGAAAUCCCGGAGCUCAACUCUGGAACUGCACUUUAUACUACUCUGCUAGAGUCUUGGAGAGGAGACUGGAAUUUACGGUGUAGCAGUGAAAUGCGUAGAUAUCGUAAGGAAGACCAGUGGCGAAGGCGAGUCUCUGGACAAAGACUGACGCUGAGGCACGAAGGCCAGGGGAGCAAACGGG
RNAcentral lists this ribosomal RNA (253 nucleotides) under uncultured bacterium. RNAcentral's name for it is "partial 16S ribosomal RNA". It matches the Rfam family "Bacterial small subunit ribosomal RNA", at positions 524 to 776 of the family's 1533-position model. The record is from RNAcentral.